GUCGGGCCGGGCCCGGCCGCUUCCGCGAGCGCCCUGCAGACUGAGGGAGAGAGAGAGAAAGAGGAGGGGAGGAGGAGGAGGAUUCAGGGAAUAGGAGCUGGGGAGCCCUUCUGCGCCACAGUGAUAUCAGUAUCAAGAUAAAAGUUUGGAAUGGGAGAAAAAUUCUCAAAGCCUGAAAGAAAAUCUGAGAUGCUUGGAGUGUAAAGAUCCCAUGGUCACAUAAAUCCGGAAAGCACUGAAUACUUUGUUUCCCAUAAGAGAAUCCCAUUAUAUGUUGAUGUAUUAAAAGACCUGAGAACCUGGUGUAGUUACUUUUGGUGACGCUGUCCAGUUCCCACAAUGUAUCAUUCCUUAUCUGAAACUAGACAUCCUCUGCAGCCAGAAGAACAAGAAGUAGGCAUUGACCCCUUGUCCAGUUACUCUAACAAGUCUGGAGGAAAGAAUGGGAAGAACUAUUUGUAAACAACAAUUACUUGGCAACAAUAAGGCAGAAGGGGAUUAAUGGGCAGCUGAGAAGCAGCAGGUUCCGCAGCAUUUGCUGGAAG
Molecule: long non-coding RNA, 545 nt
Filed under: Homo sapiens (human)
Lineage: Eukaryota; Metazoa; Chordata; Mammalia; Primates; Hominidae
Description: non-protein coding lnc-SATB1-8:6
Source: RNAcentral